This 928-nucleotide ribosomal RNA is filed under the name uncultured bacterium. Its description in RNAcentral is "bacterial SSU rRNA". It matches the Rfam family "Bacterial small subunit ribosomal RNA", at positions 28 to 916 of the family's 1533-position model. The record is from RNAcentral.
AACGAACGCUGGCGGCGUGUCUUAAGCAUGCAAGUCGAACGAGAACCUGUUCGUUGGUUGGCUUGCCAAACUUCGAACGGGGGACAGUGGCGAACGGGUGAGUAACACGUGGGUAACCUGCCCUUGGAUGGGGGAUAGCUCUAGGAAACUAGGGGUAAUACCGCAUAAUGUCGUUCUAUCACAAGAUAGAAUGAUGAAAGAUGCCCUCUGUAUAUGGUAUCGUCCGAGGAUGGGCCCGCGGCCUAUUAGCUAGUUGGUAGGGUAAUGGCCUACCAAGGCAACGAUGGGUAGCCGGCCUGAGAGGGUGUUCGGCCACAUUGGGACUGAGAUACAGCCCAGACUCCUACGGGAGGCAGCAGCUAAGAAUAUUCCGCAAUGGGCGAAAGCCUGACGGAGCGACGCCGCGUGGAGGAUGAAGGCCUUCGGGUUGUAAACUCCUUUUCACAGGGAAGAAUAAGGUUAGGAGUAACUGCCUGGCCGAUGACGGUACCUGUGGAAUAAGCCCCGGCUAAUUACGUGCCAGCAGCCGCGGUAAUACGUAUGGGGCUAGCGUUGUUCGGAUUCACUGGGCGUAAAGGGCGUGUAGGCGGCUAAGCAAGUCGGAUGUGAAAUUUUCAGGCUUAACCUGAAAACUGCAUUCGAAACUGUUUGGCUAGAGUAUCGGAGAGGGAGACGGAAUUCCUGGUGUAGGGGUGAAAUCUGUAGAUAUCAGGAGGAACACCGGUGGCGAAGGCGGUCUCCUGGCCGGAUACUGACGCUGAGGCGCGAAAGCUAGGGGAGCAAACAGGAUUAGAUACCCUGGUAGUCCUAGCUGUAAACGUUGUGCACUAGGUGUAGGUAGGUUUAUCCUAUCUGUGCCGGAGCUAACGCAUUAAGUGCACCGCCUGGGGAGUAUGCUCGCAAGGGUGAAACUCAAAGGAAUUGACGG